UGGGGAAUAUUGGACAAUGGGCGAAAGCCUGAUCCAGCCAUGCCGCAUGUGUGAAGAAGGUCUUCGGAUUGUAAAGCACUUUAAGUUGGGAGGAAGGGCAGUAAGCGAAUACCUUGCUGUUUUGACGUUACCGACAGAAUAAGCACCGGCUAACUCUGUGCCAGCAGCCGCGGUAAUACAGAGGGUGCAAGCGUUAAUCGGAAUUACUGGGCGUAAAGCGCGCGUAGGUGGUUCGUUAAGUUGAAUGUGAAAGCCCCGGGCUCAACCUGGGAACUGCAUCCAAAACUGGCGAGCUAGAGUAGGGCAGAGGGUGGUGGAAUUUCCUGUGUAGCGGUGAAAUGCGUAGAGAUCUGGAGGAAUACCGAUGGCGAAGGCAGCCAUCUGGCCUAAUACUGACGCUGAGGUACGAAAGCAUGGGGAGCAAACAGG
This 429-nucleotide ribosomal RNA is filed under the name Pseudomonadota bacterium. Its description in RNAcentral is "Proteobacteria bacterium partial 16S ribosomal RNA". It matches the Rfam family "Bacterial small subunit ribosomal RNA", at positions 355 to 776 of the family's 1533-position model. Lineage: Bacteria; Pseudomonadati; Pseudomonadota. The record is from RNAcentral.